RNAcentral lists this ribosomal RNA (253 nucleotides) under uncultured bacterium. RNAcentral describes it as "partial 16S ribosomal RNA". It matches the Rfam family "Bacterial small subunit ribosomal RNA", at positions 524 to 776 of the family's 1533-position model. The record is from RNAcentral.
UACGGAGGGCGCAAGCGUUGUUCGGAAUCAUUGGGCGUAAAGCGCGUGUAGGUGGCUUGGUAAGUUGGGUGUGAAAGCCCGGGGCCCAACCCCGGAAUUGCAUUCAAAACUGCCUGGCUGGAGUCCCGGAGAGGAAGGCGGAAUUCCCGGUGUAGAGGUGAAAUUCGUAGAUAUCGGGAGGAACACCAGUGGCGAAGGCGGCCUUCUGGACGGUGACUGACACUGAUACGCGAAAGCGUGGGGAGCAAACAGG